Long non-coding RNA from Syngnathus acus (greater pipefish), 1152 nucleotides. RefSeq lists it as uncharacterized. NCBI's taxonomy places the organism in Eukaryota, Metazoa, Chordata, Actinopteri, Syngnathiformes, Syngnathidae. The transcript has 2 exons. The record is from RefSeq and is a predicted model, not a curated record.
UUCGCUUGUAUGACUCAUGAGACAUUACUGUAGCAGGAUGCUGGAGUCCAUCCUAGUUGACUUCAGGCAGUAGGCGGUGGACACUCUGAACUGGACGCCAGCCAAUCGCAAGGCAAGCAUUGACGAACAACCAUUCACAACCACAUGUUUUUGAAAUGUGGGAGGAAAUUGGAUUAAACCCACGCAGGCACGAAACAUAUAAACUCCAGUGAAAACAGUUAAUUAAAACACUAAAUGAUAUAAAGCAGCAUAACAAUAAAGUUGGUCAAAAGCCGUGGUUGUUGAGAACAAAUUUUAGAACUGAACAAGAUAAGGGGACGGACCAGAAACAGAAAACAGGCGAUCUAAGGCUCCAUUGGGGAAAACAAAGGGAGAGUCUGAUCCAGGAGCCGACGUGCCGUUCCCAUUAGGCAUCCCAUCAAAACGCAAUCUACAUGAUCAAGAGUUUGCAAGACUCUAAUAGCCUCCAAGUGGCCCCGGAGAACAACAGAUGAUUUUAUGUAAAAAUCCAUGGAAGUGUUUCAAAUCUCACAAUGAACUUGGCUUGAGCGUUUUGAAUGACUGAAAACUAUGUCCACACCUCCACCACCACCACAGUAAAGCUAAGUUAAGCAAGUUCCCAUUUUCAAGGUGUGUCCUUGAUUAGAUAAUGAAUUUUUGUUACCUUAAGAUCCGCCCAAACACACUCCGUAAGAUAUAUUCGCUUGUUCAGAUCGGUGGCAUACAACAAGCUCACAUUGUCCGACACUGAGAAGAAACAAUCAUGAGGGUCUACGUUGUCCUCCUGCUGCUGGCGCUGUUGGCCAUAACUGCUUGUGUCAUGGCUGCUGAAGUCGAAAAGAUGGAGCAGCCCAAGAAUGGAUUUCCACCGAGCCUCCAAUCAGAGCAGCUCGCGAACUCAAACCUACGAGGCAUCCGAUCACAGAGUCUAGGGCCCCCACAGGGCAUCCGAUCACAGAGUCUAGGGCCCCCAAAGGGCAUCCGAUCAAGGCGCCAGCUGCCAAACAUUUUGGCCACCGCUAGAAGACGCGGCAGACACGGCACACAAGGCUGACGCGACAGAGCAAUCUAUAGAUAGGAAUCUAUUUUUAUGUCAGGAAGAUCCUCAGAAAGAGUUUCAAAUCUCACAAUAAACCUUUCCAUGACAAUUUA